RNAcentral lists this ribosomal RNA (253 nucleotides) under uncultured bacterium. Its description in RNAcentral is "partial 16S ribosomal RNA". It matches the Rfam family "Bacterial small subunit ribosomal RNA", at positions 524 to 776 of the family's 1533-position model. The record is from RNAcentral.
UACGAAGGGGGCUAGCGUUGUUCGGAAUUACUGGGCGUAAAGCGCACGUAGGCUGACAUUUAAGUGAGGGGUGAAAUCCCGAGGCUCAACCUCGGAACUGCCUUUCAUACUGGCAAUCUCGAGUCCGGAAGAGGUUAGUGGAACAGCAAGUGUAGAGGUGAAAUUCGUAGAUAUUUGCUAGAACACCGGUGGCGAAGGCGGCUAACUGGUCCGGUACUGACGCUGAGGUGCGAAAGCGUGGGGAGCAAACAGG